UCUAAAAUUAUAUUUUAUCAUAAAAUUCUCUAAAGCUUUCAUAAAAGAUUGUUAUUUCUCCCCAGAUAACAAAGAUAUCUAGAAAAGUGAUUCAUCAUGGUAUGAAAGCACAUGAGAGACAGAGAUUUCAGCUGAAGACAUACCUUAAAAUGUUCUAAAUGGUUCAGCACAAGUCUUUCUAGUCUCUUCUCAAAGGCAGGAAAUGAUGAUAUUUGGGUCUCUACUGAUAAUGUUUUAGCACAUGACAAAAAAUGGCAACAGUCUUAGAUUUGGGGAGCAUCAUUCAUGUGCGUAAUGCAGUCUGACACUCCCUUCGAUGCAAG
Molecule: long non-coding RNA, 323 nt
Organism: Lontra canadensis (Northern American river otter)
Lineage: Eukaryota; Metazoa; Chordata; Mammalia; Carnivora; Mustelidae
Exons: 3
Source: RefSeq, a predicted model, not a curated record